GGAAGUAAGUAACAAGGUUUCCGUAGGUGAACCUGCGGAAGGAUCAUUAAAGAACGCCCCGUUUUUUGAAAUGGGUAAUUCUAAACCGUGUAUACAUACCUUUGUUGCUUUGGCAGGCCGCCCCUCAGGGCGUCGGCUCCGGCUGACUGCGCCUGCCAGAGGACCCAAACUCUUUUGUUUAGUGAUGUCUGAGUACUAUAUAAUAGUUAAAACUUUCAACAACGGAUCUCUUGGUUCUG
Molecule: unclassified non-coding RNA, 239 nt
Filed under: plant metagenome
Description: partial contains small subunit ribosomal RNA, internal transcribed spacer 1, and 5.8S ribosomal RNA
Rfam family: Eukaryotic small subunit ribosomal RNA (bases 1-49)
Source: RNAcentral